RNAcentral lists this ribosomal RNA (497 nucleotides) under uncultured bacterium. Its description in RNAcentral is "partial 16S ribosomal RNA". It matches the Rfam family "Bacterial small subunit ribosomal RNA", at positions 28 to 507 of the family's 1533-position model. The record is from RNAcentral.
GACGAACGCUGGCGGCGUGCCUAAUACAUGCAAGUUGAGCGCUGAAGGUUGGUACUUGUACCAACUGGAUGAGCAGCGCACGGGUGAGUAACGCGUGGGGAAUCUGCCUUUGAGCGGGGGACAACAUUUGGAAACGAAUGCUAAUACCGCAUAAAAACUUUAAACACAAGUUUUAAGUUUGAAAGAUGCAAUUGCAUCACUCAAAGAUGAUCCCGCGUUGUAUUAGCUAGUUGGUGAGGUAAAGGCUCACCAAGGCGAUGAUACAUAGCCGACCUGAGAGGGUGAUCGGCCACAUUGGGACUGAGACACGGCCCAAACUCCUACGGGAGGCAGCAGUAGGGAAUCUUCGGCAAUGGACGAAAGUCUGACCGAGCAACGCCGCGUGAGGGAAGAAGGGUUUCGGAUCGUAAAACUCUGUUGGUAGAGAAGAACGUUGGUGAGAGUGGAAAGCUCAUCAAGUGACGGUAACUACACAGAAAGGGACGGCUAACUACGUG